CCUACGGGUGGCUGCAGUGAGGAAUAUUGGUCAAUGGCCGCAGGGCUGAACCAGCCAAGUCGCGUGAAGGAUGACGGCCCUAUGGAUUGUAAACCUCUUUUGUACGGGAGCAAAGGGCGCCACGUGUGGCGUUUUGCGAGUACCUGACGAAAAAGCAUCGGCUAACUCCGUGCCAGCAGCCGCGGUAAUACGGAGGAUCCGAGCGUUAUCCGGAUUUAUUGGGUUUAAAGGGUGCGCAGGCGGAUUGUUAAGUCAGCGGUAAAAUUUCGGGGCUCAACCCCGUCGUGCCGUUGAAACUGGCGUUCUAGAGAGAGCAAGCAGCAGGCGGAAUGUGUGGUGUAGCGGUGAAAUGCAUAGAUAUCACGCAGAACUCCGAUUGCGAAGGCAGCAUACUGGCGCGCAACUGACGCUCAUGCACGAAAGCGUGGGGAUCGAACAGGAUUAGAUACCCCGGUAGUC
This 459-nucleotide ribosomal RNA is filed under the name uncultured bacterium. RNAcentral's name for it is "partial 16S ribosomal RNA". It matches the Rfam family "Bacterial small subunit ribosomal RNA", at positions 338 to 795 of the family's 1533-position model. The record is from RNAcentral.